Molecule: long non-coding RNA, 503 nt
Organism: Thalassophryne amazonica
Lineage: Eukaryota; Metazoa; Chordata; Actinopteri; Batrachoidiformes; Batrachoididae
Exons: 4
Source: RefSeq, a predicted model, not a curated record
AUAAAAACAUCCUUCAGAACGCUGUUCCCACAGAUAGAGGAGGCGAUGGUUCAGCCCCUCAGAGAGUCCAGAGAUCGGUAUGAAGAGCUCAAGCAGAUUGACGACGCCAUGAACGAGGCACAGAAGAAGAAAAGUGAGAACUUGACUAUGGGUGGGAAGAAGUAAGACGUCUGAAAACAGCACCAGAGUGAAGGAGACAAAGCGUGGAAUUGUUUGGGUGCGUUUAGCGUCUGGAAACCAUCACGUUGUGCACUGAGUGGCGCAGAAAUCCAGUGGGUUUUGUGGUGGAUCUCUGGCAUGGAUCUGACACUUGUUACAAUCUACUGAGGGACAGGAGGACAAGGAUCCAGUUUUUCUUUUUCUUCCUUCUUUCAGGGAAUGACAACAUUUGUACAGCACAGACUACUUCACUGAACAAUAUUUAGAUACAUAUCUUUAUGGUUUUUUAUGUGAGCCACAUUUUUUUACUGAAUGUACAGAUUUUAGUGACCUUUGUUCUUUCC